CUUGUCCUUUUAUUUGUAUUUACCUUUAUUUUUUCACAUAACUUAUGAAAUAAGGCAAUGAAAUAUAAGGAGAUACAUAGUAGUCUCUGACUCCAUGCCAACUGGUGUAUUCAGUGCUUGUUCUUGCGUGGUAAACAGCUUAUCAUCAUCUGUGUGAGAUAAACAUCCUAAGGCCAAUGCAAGAAAUAAAUACUGGCACAACUGGGUCAAAAUAGGCAUCAUUUUUCAGAAGUUUGCUCUCACAGCUUUUCUAGACCACUAAGGGUCCCAGAUAUUGGGCAUAUUUCUUCUCUGCUGCUCCUAUCAACAAUUACGUUUGUUUUGGUGAAUAAAGGAUAUGAAACUUUGCUACCUUUGUGUCACGCUUUGUAGCAGAAUAAUAGAUGAAUGAUCACGUAGGUAUUGGUAAUUUCAUGGUUGGGAGUGAGUGCAAGGUUCCAAUCAUGGCCAGGAGAACUGGAUUGGGGUCAGGUAUCUCCCCACAUAUUGUCUUACAACCUCCCUCUGAUUCAGAUUAUUUCAGGGAAAAUCAGAGCACAAAAGGCCUGUAGGAAAAUUCAAAAGUUAUGAGUUAAAAGUGUAGUUUCCUCUCAAAGGAUGGAUGAAGAAAAUAAGUUUCUGUCUUUCACAUCUCUAAUGUACUUUAGCUUCACUUAGGAAUUUUUGCAAUUCUUGUCAUUUUUAUUCUAUGUAUUUGGAAUGAAGGAAUAUAUGGAGAAAAGAAGGAUGUGGUGGGUGUAUUGGAGGGUUUUUUGUGUAAACUUUAGGGAGAUCAAACCACAUGAAAUGCUAUAUAUAUAAAAAACUUCCAUUUUUAGAAGUUUGAGAAGAUAAAGAUACUUCUUAAGAAAAGGAAACAUGUCCAAGCUUAUUCUCUCCUGCUCCUGUCAAUCAUCUAGGUAAACAUGGAGAAGAUUAGUGGGUCUCCACUUAAGGAGGGAUGCAGUUUGGAGAGCAGUGGGAUGAGCAUUCUCUAGGACUUAUGAAUCAAAUUGUUCAGGCAUCAUGUUCUAUUGAGGGGAAUGAUAAAACCUGCAGGGGACAAUGGUGGGGCACAGGGCAGCGCUUCCGCAAUCAGCCAUGCUGUGUGCAAUGCCCUACUCAGAAAGGUGCCAUUUAUGUAGAUUUUAUGUCACUGGCUCCUUUCUGGGUAGAGCAAGGCUCACCAUGUAUAUAUUUGUGGUGGCCUUUGUACCCGUGUUGGAGUAGAGCUGCAAAAGCCUCAAGCUGCCUUCCCUGAUAACAGGAGAACCUAGCUGGCCAUGUGGACCUCAGGCAUCCUCAAGAUGAUUUCAGUGGUGCAUUCCUACCAAUGUGAACACCUACAGGUUAAAGAAGAGAAAGAUGAGAUGAAGAUCGUUCCUAAUAGAGUAAUAGAAAACGGUAACAAGCUUGUUCUCACCUGGUCCUGGCAAUCACUGGGUAAACAUAGAGCAAGUGAGAGGGUUCUCACUGAGUCAGGCAUGACAGUUGGUGGGCAGUGGGCUGGACAUUCUCUAGGACUUAAUAAUAAGUAAGUUCCAGAUUCAGGCAUCCUGCUGUGUUGAAGGGAGUGAUAAAAGAUGCAGGGGACAAUGGUGGGGGAUGGGGCGGCACCUUCACAAUCAGCCAUGCUGUGGGCAGUGCCUUACUCAGAAAGGUGCCAGUCACUUACACUACAUGUCACUGUGUCCUUUCUGCGUAGAGUAAGGCUCACUAAGUACAAGUUUGUGGUGGCCUUCGGACAGGUAAUAGGGUGGAGCUGCAGGAGUUGUCUUUAAUAAUGCCGGGAGAUCCUAGCUGGCCACCUGAACCUCAGGCAUCCUUAAGACGUGAACACCUGUAGAGAAGAGAGGGAUAGAAGACGUGAAGUUACUUCCUAAUAGAAG
Molecule: long non-coding RNA, 1868 nt
Filed under: Homo sapiens (human)
Lineage: Eukaryota; Metazoa; Chordata; Mammalia; Primates; Hominidae
Source: RNAcentral